This 75-nucleotide transfer RNA is filed under the name Candidatus Altimarinota bacterium. Its description in RNAcentral is "tRNA-Arg". It matches the Rfam family "tRNA". Rfam says of the family: Transfer RNA (tRNA) molecules are approximately 80 nucleotides in length. Their secondary structure includes four short double-helical elements and three loops (D, anti-codon, and T loops). The record is from RNAcentral. Lineage: Bacteria; Candidatus Altimarinota.
GUCUUCGUAGCUCAAUGGAUAGAGCGCAGGCCUCCGGAGCUUGAUAUCUGGGUUCGAUUCCCAGCGAGGACACCA